AGUGAACGCUGGCGGUAGGCCUAACACAUGCAAGUCGAACGGCAGCACAGUAAGAGCUUGCUCUUACGGGUGGCGAGUGGCGGACGGGUGAGGAAUACAUCGGAAUCUACUUUUUCGUGGGGGAUAACGUAGGGAAACUUACGCUAAUACCGCAUACGACCUACGGGUGAAAGCAGGGGAUCUUCGGACCUUGCGCGAUUGAAUGAGCCGAUGUCGGAUUAGCUAGUUGGCGGGGUAAAGGCCCACCAAGGCGACGAUCCGUAGCUGGUCUGAGUGGAGGAUAGGCGACACGGGAACUGAGACACGGUCCAGACUCCUGCGGUAGGCAGCAGUGGGGAAUAUUGGACAAUGGGCGCAAGCCUGAUCCAGCCAUACCGCGUGGGUGAAGAAGGCCUUCGGGUUGUAAAGCCCUUUUGUUGGGAAAGAAAAGCAGCAGGUUAAUACCCCGCUGUUCUGACGGUACCCAAAGAAUAAGCACCGGCUAACUUCGUG
This 492-nucleotide ribosomal RNA is filed under the name uncultured bacterium. RNAcentral's name for it is "partial 16S ribosomal RNA". It matches the Rfam family "Bacterial small subunit ribosomal RNA", at positions 29 to 507 of the family's 1533-position model. The record is from RNAcentral.